Molecule: ribosomal RNA, 363 nt
Filed under: uncultured Desulfobacterium sp.
Lineage: Bacteria; Pseudomonadati; Thermodesulfobacteriota; Desulfobacteria; Desulfobacterales; Desulfobacteriaceae
Description: bacterial SSU rRNA
Rfam family: Bacterial small subunit ribosomal RNA
Source: RNAcentral
UUCGGGAGCCGAAGACAGGUGCUGCAUGGCUGUCGUCAGCUCGUGUCGUGAGAUGUUGGGUUAAGUCCCGCAACGAGCGCAACCCCCUAUCUCUAGUUGCCAGCGAUUCGGUCGGGGACUCUAGAGAUACUGCCCCGGUUAACGGGGAGGAAGGUGGGGAUGACGUCAAGUCCUCAUGGCCCUUAUGCCCAGGGCUACACACGUGCUACAAUGGGCGGUACAAAGGGUAGCGAUGCCGCGAGGUGAAGCCAAUCCCAAAAAGCCGUCCACAGUUCGGAUUGGAGUCUGCAACUCGACUCCAUGAAGCCGGAAUCGCUAGUAAUCGUGGAUCAGCAUGCCACGGUGAAUACGUUCCCGGGCCUU